UACGUAGGGUGCGAGCGUUAAUCGGAAUUACUGGGCGUAAAGUGUGCGCAGGCGGCAGAGCAAGUCGAGUGUGAAAGCCCCGGGCUUAACUUGGGAAUUGCGCUCGAAACUACUUUGCUGGAGUGUGGCAGGGGAGAACAGAAUUCCACGUGUAGCGGUGAAAUGCGCAGAUAUGUGGAGGAAUACCGAUGGCGAAGGCAGUUCUCUGGGCCAUUACUGACGCUGAGGAGCGAAAGCGUGGGGAGCGAACAGG
Molecule: ribosomal RNA, 253 nt
Filed under: uncultured bacterium
Lineage: Bacteria
Description: partial 16S ribosomal RNA
Rfam family: Bacterial small subunit ribosomal RNA
Source: RNAcentral